Pelodiscus sinensis (Chinese soft-shelled turtle) is the source of this 5694-nucleotide non-coding RNA. The record is from RefSeq and is a predicted model, not a curated record. NCBI's taxonomy places the organism in Eukaryota, Metazoa, Chordata, Testudines, Trionychidae.
AGACGCACCAAAUUUCGGAAAAUCCUCUUUUGGAAAAAGAGCGGAGAAAGAUACGCAAAUUGUGGUUUGCAAUUUGCUUAUCUUUUUUGGACCUUUCUUUGUAGUGUAGACAUAGCCUAGAUGAUAAACACACAGCACACGUGUUACUAUGUGCACUAUUUAGGAAGUGCCUAACCCUCCCGAUCUAUUUCCAAUAGAAUAUGUCACAAUAUCGCCCUGCCUUUCAGUUCUCCUUGGCUAGCAGAGACACCCUGGAAAAUAGUCAAGUAAAACUGGCUUGUUUCAUUGGCAAGCAUAAUAAAGAAAAUUACCCGCCUUUACAACACUCAAGCCUUGCACAUGUGAUAGUGUUUUCAAGGUACCUUGCCAAUUUCAUUUUCAACAUCCUAUCCAGAUUCCUGCAGUUAUUACAUUUAAACCAACAAGUUUUUGAAAAACAACACUGUUGCCAUCAUUUGUAAUCUGUGAUGUGGUGAAGCUCUCUCAGGUCCAGACUGUUCCUUGUGAUUGGGUGUGAAAAAACAGAAUAGCUGUCCACAGGUUGUUGGAAGGCUGUGAUUGCCGCUAAGUGGACCCUCAGAGAAGAAAGUGCAAGUCCCAAGUGUUUGAGGUGGAGAAUAUAGUCCAAGUAGAUUGCAUGGGUAAUGUGUUAGGGUAUAACUUCCUGUCCGAACACCAAGAACAGAAUUGGCACCAUUUGUGCAGGUAAGUGGUAUGUAUGUUAGAUCUUCUGCUAUGUAGGAGAACAUGCCUGACAGCUGUAAGCAACUAAUUUCUCCUUGUUGGAACCAAUUAGGAGUCAUGCUGUUAAUGCGAGGCGAUCCAGCUGAGGAUGCAGCAAGUGCCCGUAGUCCUGCGUCAGUAGAUCGCGUCGUCUGGGAAGACGAUACGGAGGAUGGGACGACGAUACAGAGGAUGGGCCGACAUGCAAAACAGGUAAGGAAACCACGUUUGACAUGGACAGAAGGGUGCCACCAAUAUUACCGUGGCUCCGUCCGUAGCUAUCUUUUCUAGAACUCUCAGAAUCAGAGGAAUGGGAGGAAAAGUGUAUAGAAGGUGACUACUCCAGUUGAAGAGGAAAGCAUCUCCCUUGGAUACCAGUCCUAUUCCCGUUCUUGAACAAUAUUGAGGGCACUUCAUGUUGUGCUGAGUAGCAAAGAGGUCUAUGGAUGAGUAUCCCCAUCGUCUGAAUAGCACUCGUAGAAUGUCUAGGUGUAACUCCCAUUCGUGCUGUGUCGUAAAAUGCCUGCUGAGAGCAUCGGCUAUGAUAUUGUCCUUGCCAGGGAGGUACGCCGCCACAAUCACAACGUUGUGCUGAUUGCACCAGUUCCAUAAUCGAAUUGCUUCCAUGCAAAGGGAAUGGGACCAUGCCCCUCCUUGCCUGUUUAUAUAGUAUUCCAUUGUCAAAUUGUCAGUCAGGGCACACACCACAUGGCCACGAAUAAGAGGAAGGAAAUGCUUCCAGGAGCUGAAGACAGCUUUCAAUUUGAGAAGGUUUAUGUGCUGUAGGGACUCCUGUGCAGACCAUCAACCUUGGAUCUGCCUGUCAUGGAGAUGGGCACCCCAGCCUAGUAGGGAUGAGUCAGUCGUGAUUUGCAUGGUUGGUUGGGGUUGGUGGAAGGGUAUCCCAGCUGACAUAUUGUCGGGAAUGGUCCACCAAGUUAAGGAUUCUUUGACAAGAUGCGGUACCACCACCAACCUGUGUACGUCAUGUUUGUGUGGCACGUACACCAUGGCCAUCCAAUGUUGAAAGCAUCAGAGGUGUACCCUUGCAUAUGCCAAGACAUACGUUAUAGCUGCCAUCUGUCCCAUGAGCUGUAGACAGGUAAGUAUAGGAACCCUGGGACUGGUGGAGAGAACUUGAACAAAGGUCCUGAAUAGUGUGGAAUCUGGUUGUGGGUAGGUACGCACGUGCCGGGGGGGAAUAUAGAGAUGCGCCUUAGAACUCUAUGGAUUGUUGCAGUGCCAUAGAUGAUUUUGGAAUGCUGAUUGUAAGACCGAGUGCUCUGAAUACUGCCCUUGUGUUGGUAGCAUGGAGUGCUUUGUCGAAAGAGGGGGCUCUGAGAAGACAAUCGUCUAGAUAAGGAAAUACUAUAAUUCCCGACCGUCGUAGGAAUGCUGCUACUGUCUGAGAAAACCCUGGGAGAUGAAGAGAGGCCAAAUGGUAAGACAUUGUACUGGAAGUGCUCGGAUCCCACUAUGAAACGUAGAAAGCAUCUGUGUGCCGGGUGGAUACUCACAUGGAAACAGGCGUCCUGUAGAUUGAGGGAUGCAAACCAGUCCCCGUGCUCGAGAGCUAGAAUGAUAGUUGCUAAUGUCACCAUCCUGAAACGUUGUUUGCGGAGGUACCAAUUUAGUCGACGAAGGUCUAAAAUUGGCCUCCAGCCCCCUGACUUCUUCUGAGUUAGAAAACAGUGGAAAUAAAAUCCCUUUCCUUUGAAGUCCUCUAAUACCCUCUUCAUUGUGCUGAUAUCCAGCAGACGAGCUACCUCUUGUCUUGGAGGAGACUCGCGAGAGGGGUCCGUGAAGAGGGACGUGGAGGGAGGGAUAGGUAGGGGGAGCGAAGUGAAUGGAAUGGUGUAGCCUGACGUAUAUCAGCUGUAGGACCCAUCGGUCUGUGGUGAUGGCGUCCCAUCAGUGUUGAAACGGCCUCAGACGAUGGUGGAAGAGUUUCGUUGUACCACGUUGGCCAGCAGAUAGUGGAAUGGUUUGCAAUCCCUCAAUCGAUGCGUCAAACCUGUUGCCUGGUGUUUUGUUGAUUGGUUGGCCUGUUGGUUUGCGGCUGCCAUCUCUGUUGACGCUGCUUAAGACAACGUUGGUCAUAGUGCCUAAAUGGGUUGUUGUACAGGAGAAAGGUCUUCGCCUCUGGUAAGGUACAUAGCGCUUCCGAUGAGAAGUCGGUAUGUACAUGCUUAGCGUCCUAAGCAUUGUCUGAGAAUCCUUACCACAGUGAAGAACCUGGUCAGUUUCUUCAGCAAAUAGACUGUCUGUCAAAAGGUAGGUCUUCUACCUUUGAUUGAAGCUUCUUUGGCACGGCUGCCAUAUGCAGCCAUGCCAUGACGCCCUGCACAUAAUCACUGAUGUGGCUGUGGUUCGUGCCACCGCAUCUGCAGUAUCCAGGGUGAUGUGCAAGGCUUAUCGAGAGGCCGCAUAUCCCUCUUGCACCAGAGCCUUAAUGACCUGGCACUUACUGUCCGCUAAGUGUUCCAAGAGAGGCACUAGUUUUGAAUAACUAUCAAAGUUAUGAUUGGCCAAGAAUGCGGCAUAGUUGGCCAUUCUUAAGGUUAAAGUGGCCAAUGAAUAGACCUUCCUCCCUAAAAGGUCUAGGCAUUUACUGUUCUUAUUCCCAGUAUUGUUCCUGUACUGUGGUGCUUUGGCUCUCUGUUGUGCCGCAUCCACAACGAGGGAGUUGGGCUGGGGGUGGUUGAAGAGAAAUUCCAUCCCUUUUGUGGGUAUGAAGUACUUCUUUUCGGCCUUCUUGUUUGUUGCUGGAGUGGAGGCAGGUGUUUGCCAUUUAUCAUUGGUCACUUCCAGAAUUGCUUCAUCGAGUGGUAAAGCCACUUUUGACGUCUGUGAUGGCUAUAGGUUUCUCAGCAAACGGUGUUGCUUUUGCUGGACUUUUCACAGCUGCACCUCUUGGCUGUCAGUGACACUUUUGAACAGCUCCUGGAAUUGAUGCAGAUCAUCAGUAGGUGAAGAAUCUCCAGGGAAAACAGUGUCAUCGCGUGAGGAUGACAAUAUGUCUGCAGGUUUUGUGGAUCUUCUCUAUUCAACAGCUGUCCCUCUUCUGGCUCAGAUUGGUCUCACUGUAGACAGGGUGGGAGAGUUAGUUUUGUCGUGCAUAGUGUGAGUUCGGUGAUAGGCCGGUGAUCUCCGUAAGUUACACUCCAGGGAAUAUGAAUAAUGGCUGUCAUGAUGACUGUGCCUGGAUCGAAGGUCAUAAUACUCUGGAGAGUAUCUAUGGUAAUGCCUGCUUCUGUACAUGUCCCGGCGUCUGGAACCGGUGGAAAGUGUAGGGGACCUGGGUGAUCUGGAUCUGCCCUGUGAACACACCGGAGAGGGUGGUGAAUAUCGGUGCUGAUGGUAAUAUCUUGGGGAGAGGGAGGUACGCGGUGAGUAGUGAUGUGGGCUCGAUAGACAAUGGCUUGAGUGAAUUGAUGGAGCCGGAGAAGGUGAAGGCAGUCCUGGUGAGAAAGCGGCGUGCUGCAGGCUUGGGAUGGUGUAUGGCAACCUACGAGUUUUCCGGCUUGCUUUAGUUGGUGCCGGAGAGUGCUGGCUUGGUGACUACGCCGGUGUCGAUGUGGGCGUCAGUGCCAGCUGUGCAUUUGUGUGCAAUGACGAUGCUGAGGCUAGGCGGCCCCCCCGGUGCUGGCUGACUUGUUGGUGUCGACACGGUCGGUGCUGUAUGAGCCAGUGCUGUUAUGCGUGGCACCGCCGGCGUUGUGUGUGCCUCCGGUACCAGUACCGAUGCAGGUGCCAGUGCCAGUGCCACAGUAGGUGCUGGUCUAGUUUCCGGGACCGCUACGGGUGCCACCUGUAUUGUCGAUGCUGGACUUCGUGCCGACGCACUUCAAAUCUGCUUUUGUGUGUCAGGUUGGUGGAUUGUGGUUGCGCCCGAAGUGCCUGGCUUGUCUCCCAUGCUCACUUGUGUUGAUGACAGGGAGCAAGAGGGAGAAGGUCUUCUUUUAGAAUGUGUCGCCUUCAGAGAAGAAGGUCGGCGCCUGGCAACUGCCAGAGAUUCCGAAGGGCCAGGGGCAUCCAACUGCGGCUGACGUGCCUUAUUGAAAAGCAGCAUUUUCAGCCACAUAGCCCGGUCCUGCCUAGUUCAAGCUGAUUGAACUCAAGAGAGAGCUCACGCCGUCUGUACCCAGGGACGGUUAGGAGGAACUGGCGGGAGCCAGAUCGCAUGCUCAGAAAUGGCAUGAAAGGCACGAGAUGGCCAAAGUGCAUGUGUGGUCCGGCAAAUGACUGCUGAAAAGAUCUUCGAUCUGCGGUGCCAGAACGAGCCCGACACCUACAAUAGAGCACCCACGGGGACACUACUCGAAGAAGAACUGUUGGAAACAAAAGCAGGAGAGGAAAACCUACAGCUAAAGAAUUAGAGAGAUUAGAAUUAACCGGAAUUGGAGAGAAGAAUGGUAAACUGUCCAGGGAAGAGAGGUUUCUGCAUGAGCUAUUUUCUCCAAGAAAUAUGAAUGAUAAUAGUCCUCACAUCACACUUCACCUGUGGCUGAAUCGAUUGUGGGGAAUUAAAUAUGAAAAUUCUUCAUGCUGUGAGUCCACUGAAGUCAUUUGUAUAUUGUUUGUUAUUUAUUAUUCUGAUAAUAGUAUCUACAUCAAAGAAAACAUACGUUUUAAGGAGAAUGAGAGAGACUGGGGUGGCCAUUUGAGAACUUUACUGAGAAGCUCUCUUCCCAAGCAUAAAGGAAAGUCAUGGCAGAAUGUGAGCAAUGCUUGUAGGAGAAGUGUACAAGUGGUUGCUAAAGAAGUUAAAUCCCUGAAUUUCUAUGGAUUAUCCAGUCAAACUCAACCAACAAAACAGAUAAGAGCUGAACCGUCCAAGUUUAAGUACCCUUUCCCUAAAGAGUUCAAAAGACAUUUCUAGUGCUGCGAGAAAGGAGGUUUUUUUCCAAAUCUCAAACUAUUUCCUUUUCUGUAAAGUUACCAUAAAACACGAGAUGCUGAAGUUUACAG